This 69-nucleotide transfer RNA is filed under the name Garrulus glandarius (Eurasian jay). RNAcentral describes it as "tRNA-Arg". It matches the Rfam family "tRNA". From Rfam's summary of the family: Transfer RNA (tRNA) molecules are approximately 80 nucleotides in length. Their secondary structure includes four short double-helical elements and three loops (D, anti-codon, and T loops). Further hydrogen bonds mediate the characteristic L-shaped molecular structure. tRNAs have two regions of fundamental functional importance: the anti-codon, which is responsible for specific mRNA codon recognition, and the 3' end, to which the tRNAs corresponding amino acid is attached (by aminoacyl-tRNA synthetases). tRNAs cope with the degeneracy of the genetic code in two manners: having more than one tRNA (with a specific anti-codon) for a particular amino acid; and 'wobble' base-pairing, i.e. permitting non-standard base-pairing at the 3rd anti-codon position. The record is from RNAcentral. Lineage: Eukaryota; Metazoa; Chordata; Aves; Passeriformes; Corvidae.
AGAAAGUUAGUCUAACCAAGACAGUUGAUUUCGACUCAACAAAUUAUAGUUAAACCCUAUAACUUUCUC